GGGUUGUGAGGUUAAGCGACUAAGCGUACACGGUGGAUGCCCUGGCAGUCAGAGGCGAUGAAGGACGUGCUAAUCUGCGAUAAGCGCCGGUAAGGUGAUAUGAACCGUUAUAACCGGCGAUUUCCGAAUGGGGAAACCCAGUGUGACUCGUCACACUAUCAUUAACUGAAUCCAUAGGUUAAUGAGGCGAACCGGGGGAACUGAAACAUCUAAGUACCCCGAGGAAAAGAAAUCAACCGAGAUUCCCCCAGUAGCGGCGAGCGAACGGGGAGGAGCCCAGAGCCUGAAUCAGCAUGUGUGUUAGUGGAAGCGUCUGGAAAGGCGCGCGAUACAGGGUGACAGCCCCGUACACAAAAGCGCAUAUGCUGUGAGUUCGAUGAGUAGGGCGGGACACGUGGUAUCCUGUCUGAAUAUGGGGGGACCAUCCUCCAAGGCUAAAUACUCCUGACUGACCGAUAGUGAACCAGUACCGUGAGGGAAAGGCGAAAAGAACCCCGGCGAGGGGAGUGAAAAAGAACCUGAAACCGUGUACGUACAAGCAGUGGGAGCCCCACCACUAAGCCAGUGGUGAACUCCACAUACGCAUCCUUUGCUGAGGAUACGGUUAACGGAGCGAAAGCGACGUUCAACCGCAAAAGAAGCAGAGGGGGCUUAGUGGUGG
Molecule: ribosomal RNA, 661 nt
Filed under: Salmonella enterica
Lineage: Bacteria; Pseudomonadati; Pseudomonadota; Gammaproteobacteria; Enterobacterales; Enterobacteriaceae
Description: partial 23S ribosomal RNA
Rfam family: Bacterial large subunit ribosomal RNA
Source: RNAcentral